CACUAGCCGUUGGAGUCCUUGAGACUUUAGUGGCGCAGCUAACGCACUAAGUUGACCGCCUGGGGAGUACGGCCGCAAGGUUAAAACUCAAAUGAAUUGACGGGGGCCCGCACAAGCGGUGGAGCAUGUGGUUUAAUUCGAUGCAACGCGAAGAACCUUACCUGGUCUUGACAUAUCUAGAAUCCUGCAGAGAUGCGGGAGUGCCUUCGGGAAUUAGAAUACAGGUGCUGCAUGGCUGUCGUCAGCUCGUGUCGUGAGAUGUUGGGUUAAGUCCCGCAACGAGCGCAACCCUUGUCCUUAGUUACCAGCGGUUUGGCCGGGAACUCUAAGGAUACUGCCAGUGACAAACUGGAGGAAGGCGGGGACGACGUCAAGUCAUCAUGGCCCUUACGACCAGGGCUACACACGUGCUACAAUGGUAGGUACAGAGGGCAGCUACACAGCGAUGUGAUGCGAAUCUCAAAAAGCCUAUCGUAGUCCAGAUUGGAGUCUGCAACUCGACUCCAUGAAGUAGGAAUCGCUAGUAAUCGCGGAUCAGAAUGCCGCGGUGAAUACGUUCCCGGGCCUUGUACACACCGCCC
This 581-nucleotide ribosomal RNA is filed under the name uncultured bacterium. RNAcentral describes it as "bacterial SSU rRNA". It matches the Rfam family "Bacterial small subunit ribosomal RNA", at positions 814 to 1395 of the family's 1533-position model. The record is from RNAcentral.